UUCCUGCAGAAAUAUAGGACAGGAAUCGUGAUGGCUUGUAUAUUGCUGACUGUCACUAUGAAGUGUGACAACAGGAGGUCUUCAGUAUUGAGCAAAUACAACAUCCAAAAUAAAAAUAAAAGCUGAUCAGGAAAGACAGAAAAGUAAAGUGAACAAUCCAAAUGUGCUGUCCUUGGGAGUGAGAAGGAAAAUCUCACUUGGGAGUGAGAAGGAAAAUGUGCCUGUUCACUGCUACAAGGUUAGGAAGAAGGUACACAAAAGCAAAUGGAGGAAGACUUCAGGGUUCUCAGAAUGAAAUCUGAAUGACUGUCUAUUUCCAUCUGUGCUAGAGGAUGUUGCUGGAAGAUGUGGCCACUAAUCGUCUUUGUUGUAACACAGCAGUGGAGCCUGAGCUGGAAAAAUGCUGUUGUUUUUAUACCUCCAUUCAGAAGACAUUGGUUAUGUGCCCAAUUAAGCCAAAUGCUAAUAAAACUAAUUUAUCUAGUGUUGUCUUAAGUGGCACAUAUCUAUAAGCAUUUAUUGCACUGAAUUAAGUGUAAUAAGUGGGCAAUGUUCACUGUGACCUCAGUAAAACCUUUUCAAACA
Molecule: long non-coding RNA, 585 nt
Organism: Anas platyrhynchos (mallard)
Lineage: Eukaryota; Metazoa; Chordata; Aves; Anseriformes; Anatidae
Source: RefSeq, a predicted model, not a curated record